AGCAGCCGCGGUAAUUCCAGCUCCAAUAGCGUAUAUUAAAGUUGUUGCAGUUAAAAGCUCGUAGUUGAAUUUCGGGAUCAGUUGAUCGGUCGUGCCUCGGUACGUACUGGUCAAAUUGAUUCCUACCUUCUGACGAACCACGAUGUCAUUAAUUUGGUGUCGUGGGAAAUCAGGACUGUUACUUUGAAAAAUUGAGUGUUUAAAGCAGGCUCGCGCUUGAAUACAUUAGCAUGGAAUAAUGAAAUAGGACGUUUGAUUCUAUUUUGUUGGUUUCUAGGAUCGACGUAAUGAUUAAUAGGGAUAGUUGGGGGCAUUAGUAUUCAAUUGUCAGAGGUGAAAUUCUUGGAUUUAUUGAAGACUAACUACUGCGAAAGCAUUUGCCAAGGAUGUUUUCAUUAAUCAAGAACGAAAGUUAGGGAUCGAAGACGAUCAGAUACCGUCGUAGUCUUAACCAUAAACU
This 460-nucleotide unclassified non-coding RNA is filed under the name uncultured Entrophospora. RNAcentral describes it as "SSU rRNA". It matches the Rfam family "Eukaryotic small subunit ribosomal RNA", at positions 569 to 1038 of the family's 1831-position model. The record is from RNAcentral. Lineage: Eukaryota; Fungi; Glomeromycota; Glomeromycetes; Entrophosporales; Entrophosporaceae.